AGCGGGAUGGCGCAGAGGAAGCGUGCUGGGCCCAUAACCCAGAGGUCCGUGGAUCGAAACCAUGUCCCGCUA
Molecule: non-coding RNA, 72 nt
Organism: Papilio machaon (common yellow swallowtail)
Lineage: Eukaryota; Metazoa; Arthropoda; Insecta; Lepidoptera; Papilionidae
Source: Rfam